UUUAAAAGAGUUUGGUACGAGGAUUGGAAAACAAACUAAAAAGCGUAUUAUUACAAAACCGGACCGAGCCGAGCCGCGGUAAGUAUGAUGCAAGCCACUAAAGCUGCGAGUAGGCUUCACGCGCCCAUCCCGGCGACCAGCCCCCUACACUCGCGGCUCAUGCGGCCGGCGCUCCUCACCCACAACGCCCACCGACGCGACCCCCUAUAGCCCUAGACCCUUUCCUCACCCGUUUCUCAUUACCCACCCCACCCCUCAAAAAACACAAACACGACGACCCGACCAAACAAACCCUAAUUUCCAGCACCGCCUGACCACCAAACCGUUUUCCAUGGGAGACCUAACGGAUUCCCUGACGCCGUCUGCUUCGACGCCCAUUUCCCACUCUCGCCCCAUGCCGGUCCGCGAGGACUGCUGGAGCGAGGAAGCCACUUCCACUCUCAUCGAUGCCUGGGGCCGACGCUACCUCGAGCUCAACCGCGGUAAUCUCCGCCAGAAGGACUGGCAAGAAGUCGCCGAUGCCGUCAACGCCCUCCAUGGCCACACCAAGAAAACCCACCGCACCGAUGUUCAGUGUAAGAAUCGCAUCGACACCAUCAAGAAGAAGUACAAGGUCGAGAAGGCUAGGGUUUCGUCCUCUAACGGAGCCUUGUCUUCCUCGUGGUUGUUUUUCGACCGCCUCGAUGCCUUGAUUGGUUCUAACCUAAAGAAACCUUCUCCUUCUUCUCUCUCGCCGUCACCUCCGGUUGCUGUCCCUCUUCCUAUUGCUUAUAGAAAGUAUCCUUCCUCUGCACCUGCCGCGGCUUCGACAGUGGUUGUCCUGCCGCAGAAGCGGUCUGCAGCGGCGGCGGCGGCGGCGGCUGCGUCUUCUGCUGGCGACGAAGGGUUUUUUAGGAGGAAUUACUCAGCGAUGGCGGCGGCUGCGGCUGCAGCAGAGGCGGAAGAGGACGAUGAAUUGGAGAACGAGGAAGAGAUGGAGGAGGAGGAGGUGGACAGAGAGAGCGAGGACGAGAGUGUGGAAGGGGAGGGGAUGAGGAGGUUGGCGAGGGCCAUAGAGAGGUUCGGAAGGGUGUAUGAGAGAGUGGAGGGGGAGAAGUUGAGGCAGAUGGUGGAGUUGGAGAAGCAGAGGAUGCAGUUCGCGAAGGAUUUGGAGGUUCAGAGGAUGCGGAUGUUCAUGGAUACGCAGGUUCAACUCGAGCGGAUCAAGCGUGGUAGGAGAUCGGGGUCCAAUGGACAGCAUAGAUGCUUAUGAGUUUCUAAUUUGCACAUUGGAUGAUGACGGGUUCCAUUAAGUUUCCACAUGGACUCCACUUUAUCCAAAUUCCAACGGCCAGAAAAGGACAUGAAACACAGUUAGAAGAUCUAGAUGAUUGACUUCUAAGAAAGAUCUAUGAAUUGUUUCUUACAGAGAUAUAUAGCUAGCGAUGAGGCGAGAGCUUGAAAGAUGCACUCUCGGGAAGCACAUGUAGUAACUUCUUAAUCCUCCUUACAGAAGUACAUAUUGUUGCAGCUGAUACCCUCGUAAGAUUAUUUCCAGCAGAGAUGGAUUAUCUUAAUUAUUUAGAUUCUUUAUAUAUUGCCUCUUGCUCCUUUCUUUUCCUUUUUUUUUUCCCCCCCUCAAAACGUUUUUAUAUGAAGUUAACUGGGCUAUUGUACUCGGCCUGUGUACCAAAUUCAAAUUUUUAGCUGCAAUACCGUUUUCCAGUUUGAGGGACAAAAAUUUGUAGUUUGCACGAACUCGAAACCUAGUGGGUUAGAUAUGUAAAGAAGGUGGCGCUGCCUCCCUCACCUUCCUUUGGCCACCUGAAUUUCAUCAUGUUUAAAUAAUUAAAAAUUUAGUUGGUUUCUGUAACUUGAUGUUGAGUAAGCUUGCUAUAAUUUGUAAAUUCUGAUACUUCAGAAGGUAGUAUGCGAAUCAUUUAUUUGUUUAGCCAUUUGCAUGGCAUUCACGUAUGUGCCAUGUCUGCGGAUCAAUAUUCUUCUAAGUUGAUAAUGACAUAUAAUCCUACUCAUGGAUAUGUAGUAGUGUUUUGGUUU
Ziziphus jujuba (common jujube) is the source of this 2037-nucleotide RNA transcript. It is a transcript of the gene named trihelix transcription factor ENAP2, with no coding region annotated. The record is from RefSeq and is a predicted model, not a curated record. The transcript is spliced from 3 exons. NCBI's taxonomy places the organism in Eukaryota, Viridiplantae, Streptophyta, Magnoliopsida, Rosales, Rhamnaceae.